GUGCUAUACAUGCAAGUCGAGCGGACAGAAGGGAGCUUGCUCCCGGAUGUUAGCGGCGGACGGGUGAGUAACACGUGGGUAACCUGCCUGUAAGACUGGGAUAACUCCGGGAAACCGGAGCUAAUACCGGAUAGUUCCUUGAACCGCAUGGUUCAAGGAUGAAAGACGGUUUCGGCUGUCACUUACAGAUGGACCCGCGGCGCAUUAGCUAGUUGGUGAGGUAACGGCUCACCAAGGCGACGAUGCGUAGCCGACCUGAGAGGGUGAUCGGCCACACUGGGACUGAGACACGGCCCAGACUCCUACGGGAGGCAGCAGUAGGGAAUCUUCCGCAAUGGACGAAAGUCUGACGGAGCAACGCCGCGUGAGUGAUGAAGGUUUUCGGAUCGUAAAGCUCUGUUGUUAGGGAAGAACAAGUGCAAGAGUAACUGCUUGCACCAUGACGGUACCUAACCAGAAAGCCACGGCUAACUACGUGCCAGCAGCCGCGGUAAUACGUAGGUGGCAAGCGUUGUCCGGAAUUAUUGGGCGUAAAGGGCUCGCAGGCGGUUUCUUAAGUCUGAUGUGAAAGCCCCCGGCUCAACCGGGGAGGGUCAUUGGAAACUGGGAAACUUGAGUGCAGAAGAGGAGAGUGGAAUUCCACGUGUAGCGGUGAAAUGCGUAGAGAUGUGGAGGAACACCAGUGGCGA
This 689-nucleotide ribosomal RNA is filed under the name Bacillus xiamenensis. Its description in RNAcentral is "bacterial SSU rRNA". It matches the Rfam family "Bacterial small subunit ribosomal RNA", at positions 44 to 718 of the family's 1533-position model. Lineage: Bacteria; Bacillati; Bacillota; Bacilli; Caryophanales; Bacillaceae. The record is from RNAcentral.